Molecule: ribosomal RNA, 69 nt
Filed under: Triticum aestivum (bread wheat)
Lineage: Eukaryota; Viridiplantae; Streptophyta; Magnoliopsida; Poales; Poaceae
Description: partial small subunit ribosomal RNA
Source: RNAcentral
AUGGUAUGGAGCUUUGUUUGGAAGUGGCGCUCCGAGGAUGAGGUCGAUUCGAUGCUCAAUGCCUCGUAG